This 246-nucleotide unclassified non-coding RNA is filed under the name air metagenome. RNAcentral's name for it is "partial contains small subunit ribosomal RNA, internal transcribed spacer 1, and 5.8S ribosomal RNA". The stretch from base 1 to 46 matches the Rfam family "Eukaryotic small subunit ribosomal RNA", at positions 1786 to 1831 of the family's 1831-position model. The record is from RNAcentral.
AAGUCGUAACAAGGUCUCCGUUGGUGAACCAGCGGAGGGAUCAUUAGCGAGUUUACAGCUCCAAAACCCAUGUUUACGUGCCCUGAAGGUGCUGUCUCGGCGGGCGGGGGGUGACGACCCCCCACCGGCCGGCAUCCCACUGCCGCCCGCCGGCAGCACCAAAAACUCUUGCAAGCUGCAGCGUUACCUUCUGAAGAAACAAAAAAAAACAAGUUAAAACUUUCAACAACGGAUCUCUUGGCUCUG